Molecule: non-coding RNA, 72 nt
Organism: Ictidomys tridecemlineatus (thirteen-lined ground squirrel)
Lineage: Eukaryota; Metazoa; Chordata; Mammalia; Rodentia; Sciuridae
Source: Rfam
AGGGUUGUGGCUCAAUGGUUGAGCACUUGCCUUGCAUGUGUGAGGCCCUGUGUUCGAUUCUCAGCACCACAU